CGGGCACGCGCAUUAAAGGGAAACGCCGGCUGGGGGUUAGGGGUUACCCCAAGACGGUGCAGGCAGUGGGACGAGGAGGCCUUUUACCCCCAUCCACCGCAGCCCUUGACUUCACGCUCGCCUCGAAGCUUUCGCAAAGCAAGAGAAAGAGGCCCACUGCAAUAUGCUGUGAAGAAUACAUAAGAAGUCAAACUGUUGACCUCUUUUCCCCAGCCCGUUCCAAAACUACAUCCCUGAGGAGUUGUGCACCUCUACGGAAAGUUCAGAUGAAAGAGCUAAUUCCCCUUGAUCUCUCUUCUUGUUCAGAGUGGAGGAAAAACAUAUACCAUCCCUUCCAUCAAUCCUCAGCAUAACUUUGCCAGGGACACUGGUAACAAGCUACUUUUACCUCAGAAGUUGGAGAGUAUCACUUGACCCACAUUGUGUAUGUGUAAAUAUCUUUAUUCAGUGUAUAUACAAUAUAUUCUUAAUUUGACUCUCAAAGUUUAUAAUUAGCAUUGAAUGAGUAUGAAACAUUGUUUUCCAAAUACUGUCAGCAAGCUAUUGAAUAUGUUGUUCCUGAUUUAUGAAUGAGAUUUUCA
This 581-nucleotide long non-coding RNA is filed under the name Homo sapiens (human). RNAcentral's name for it is "non-protein coding UBE2E2-AS1:2". Lineage: Eukaryota; Metazoa; Chordata; Mammalia; Primates; Hominidae. The record is from RNAcentral.